RNAcentral lists this ribosomal RNA (657 nucleotides) under Triticum aestivum (bread wheat). Its description in RNAcentral is "partial small subunit ribosomal RNA". Lineage: Eukaryota; Viridiplantae; Streptophyta; Magnoliopsida; Poales; Poaceae. The record is from RNAcentral.
AUGCUCGAUUGGUGGUGCUCUCCCUCCUCCUCGGCCGUGUGGACGGCGUGGCGGCGGGCGUUGGGCGCAGGUCGCACUCUCCUCUUCUUCUCAUCCUCUCCCCCCGUCAGAUCUGGCCCCUGGCGGCCGCUGGUCGCCGGAUCCACUGUCGACGGGGCUGCUGGAGGGGUGGUAGCGGACCGGGAUAAAUCCCUGGCUGGAUUCCCGGCCACGACGACGGCGACACCUCCUGGUGUCGUCUUCCUCCUUGGAGGCGCCGUCGAGGUGCCGCCUUGGGUGAGUUGGGGGUGUGCAGGGGCGAUGGGUGUGGUGUCAAGUGUGUGGCGGCUUUGCAGGAGGAGUUGGCGCCAUGGUCUUCUUGUUGGGGCAAUGCUCUGCUAUUUGGUUGUUCGUUGCCUGUCUUGUGGCUGUUUGUUUGCUGGCUCUCAGUGCCAUGGCAUGGACGGGGUGAAGAUAGGGUUCUUUCCCCGUUGGCAGCAACAGGGCAUGGAAGGCUUGAACUUGGUGCUGAUUCCAGCGGGUGCUGUCCUGCUAUCUGCAUUGGCUGUCUUGGCUCCCCUGCUUGCAAGUUCUUCUUCAACCUCGCUCAACAGCAGCUUCUCUUCCUUGGGUGUGGAUUACUGUGUCUUGAAGAGACUCUUCGUUUGGUGUUCUUAG